Molecule: non-coding RNA, 188 nt
Filed under: Clunio marinus
Lineage: Eukaryota; Metazoa; Arthropoda; Insecta; Diptera; Chironomidae
Description: Bacterial small subunit ribosomal RNA
Rfam family: Bacterial small subunit ribosomal RNA
Source: Rfam by way of RNAcentral
GGUUAAAACUCAAAUGAAUUGACGGGGGCCCGCACAAGCGGUGGAGCAUGUGGUUUAAUUCGAUGCAACGCGAAGAACCUUACCUGGUCUUGACAUCCACGGAAGUUUUCAGAGAUGAGAAUGUGCCUUCGGGAACCGUGAGACAGGUGCUGCAUGGCUGUCGUCAGCUCGUGUUGUGAAAUGUUGGG